This 549-nucleotide ribosomal RNA is filed under the name Triticum aestivum (bread wheat). Its description in RNAcentral is "partial small subunit ribosomal RNA". The record is from RNAcentral. Lineage: Eukaryota; Viridiplantae; Streptophyta; Magnoliopsida; Poales; Poaceae.
AUGACGAAGGCAAACUCAUCUGGCUCGAGAGUUGAUGGCGGUGGAGGAAAGAUAGUUGGGGGAGCGGGGUGGAUAGCGGAGGUGGAGGCGGCUGAGGUUGCGGGAGGGAGCAAAUCAAACCGGGAGGAAUUGCUAGAUGAGAAGUCGAAGUAUCUGAAUAUUAGGGAAUAAGAAGAGGAAGAUGUGAUCUUGGAGGAAGAUAUGGAGGAACUAGAGAAGGAUUGAGAGUUCAUGGCGCUAGCUUGUGUGCAUACCUCGAGAAAAUUCAGUCAUGGGGCUUUCUAUGGAACGAUGAGAUCAGCAUGGAAUCUUGCACAGGAAGUAGAGUUCAGAGCUAUAGAAGAUAACUUGUUCUCCAUACAGAUCGCAUGCUUGGCGGACUGGGAGAGAGUUAUGUUUGAAGGACCGUGGAUCUUUCAGAACUGUCCAGUGCUGCUUUCUCCAUAUGAUGGAUGGUCAGAACCAAGCGAGGUAGAGUUAAACACCUACCAGGUGUGGGUGAGGAUGAUGGGGUUGAAGGAUAAGAUGAGGAGUGCAAGCAUAGCUUGA